This 1379-nucleotide long non-coding RNA is filed under the name Gadus morhua (Atlantic cod). Its description in RNAcentral is "lncRNA (ENSGMOG00000026116.1)". Lineage: Eukaryota; Metazoa; Chordata; Actinopteri; Gadiformes; Gadidae. The record is from RNAcentral.
GGCAAUUAUGUUGCUGCCAGUGAGUCGCAUGGCCGAUUUAAUAAACCUCUGCCUGUCGAUUCCAGAGCUAACGCCAACAACAGUAGGGAUGUGCGUGACUCGGGGAAGGUUUGCCAUCACUGUAACAAAUGGGGGCACUGGAAAAAAGAUUGCUUCUUGUUAAAUUCCCCUAAGGCAGGUCAUUGGGAACCAAAAGGGGUUGCUACGGCAGCUCCAGUUCGUCCGGUGUCCACUUGUGUUACACCUACCUUCGGUUCAAAUGAGGAUACAUCGGUUGUAGCUCUGAGUUCUUACCGUCCAUUUAUCAUGCAGGGGACUGUGUCUUUGGUGCAGGGUGGGGAAGAAGUACCGGUAACUAUUUUGAGGGACACUGGGGCUUUUGAUUCAUUCAUUCAAGCUGGUGUUCUCCCUUUGACUAAUGUUUCUGACACUGGUGAUAAGGUUCCUAUCCGGGGCAUAGACAUGAAUAUUUUGUUGGUUCCCUUGCAUAAUGUUGUCCUAAAAUGUGAACUGUUCCAGGGAGAAGCAAAGCUCGCUGUGCGCCCAGCACUGCCUAUUCCGGGUGUGACGCUGAUCCUGGGCAACGACCUAGUGGGUGCUAAGGUCUGGGCUGGGGUCCCGCCGCCGCCGGCAGUGGUGACCUCUGUUCCCUUGGUAACGGAGGAAGUUGAUGAAUGUGAACAUGACUUCCCAGAGGUUUUUACAGCGUGUGCGGUGACCCGUGCAAUGGCUAAGUUAAAAGAGAAAUCUCAUUUAAAUGAUUCAAGUAAGACAAAAGCAUCUGAAAAGUUUUCGUUACCUCUUUCUGAUUUUCCAUUGUCCAUAACCCGUUCAGAUCUGGUUGCGGAACAGCAGGCUGAUGCCUAUCUGAAGGAGAUAUUUCCAUUGGUACGGCCAGAGGAGGAGCUGUUUGACAGUGCUUGUGGGUAUUUUCUGCAGGACUCAUUGUUGGUGAGAAAAUGGCUGUCGCAUAAAGGAAGGUUUGUGGGUGAACCAGUGUUCCAAAUUGUGUUGCCAGAGAAACUUCGCCCGUCAGUGUUAAAAGUAGCACAUAAUGAAUCUGGACAUGCUGGUGUGAGAAAAACUUACGAUAGACUACUUAGGCAUUUCUUUUGGCCUCGUAUGAAGAGAGAUGUGUCGGCAUUUAUCAAAACUUGUCAUACAUGCCAGUUAACUGACAAGCCUAAUCAAAAGUUGAAACCAGCACCAUUGUAUCCCAUUCCGGCCAUUAGCCAGCCGUUUGAACAUUUGAUAAUAGACUGUGUAGGUCCUCUACCUCCUUCAAAAUCUGGAGCGGUGUAUUUGUUAACAGUAAUGUGCCAGGCAACUCGCUAUCCGGCUGCGUAUCCUCUGCGUACUAUUACCACUAGGCCAGGUGC